AGGGCACCACCAGGAGUGGAGCCUGCGGCUUAAUUUGACUCAACACGGGAAAUCUCACCAGGCCCGGACACCGGAAGGAUUGACAGAUUGAGAGCUCUUUCUUGAUUCGGUGGGUGGUGGUGCAUGGCCGUUCUUAGUUGGUGGAGCGAUUUGUCUGGUUAAUUCCGAUAACGAACGAGACUCUGGCCUACUAACUAGACGUCGGAUCCCUUUGUGGGUCCGUCGCAGCUUCUUAGAGGGACGGGCGGCGUUUAGCCGCACGAGAUUGAGCAAUAACACGUCUGUGAUGCCCUUACAUGUUCUGGGCCCUGCACGCGCUACACUGAACGUAUCACCAUGUGUUCCCUAUUUUUAAGGAUUUGGCAUCCCUUUCCAACUCAAUCACGAUGGGGAUUGGGGGGUGAAUUAAUUUAUUUCUCUUAAGCAUAUUUUCCUUUGCAUGUUGGCAUUGCUCCCACUAAUUUAUCCUUCUUUUCUCCACCCGUCGCUCUCCUUUUCGUUAGUAGUAUAGAAGCAUAA
Molecule: ribosomal RNA, 519 nt
Filed under: uncultured eukaryote
Lineage: Eukaryota
Description: bacterial SSU rRNA
Rfam family: Eukaryotic small subunit ribosomal RNA
Source: RNAcentral